RNAcentral lists this ribosomal RNA (402 nucleotides) under uncultured bacterium. Its description in RNAcentral is "bacterial SSU rRNA". It matches the Rfam family "Bacterial small subunit ribosomal RNA", at positions 355 to 774 of the family's 1533-position model. The record is from RNAcentral.
UGGGGAAUAUUGGACAAUGGGCGCAAGCCUGAUCCAGCCAUGCCGCGUGAGUGAUGAAGGCCUUAGGGUUGUAAAGCUCUUUUAGCGGGGAAGAUAAUGACGGUACCCGCAGAAAAAGCCCCGGCUAACUUCGUGCCAGCAGCCGCGGUAAUACGAAGGGGGCUAGCGUUGCUCGGAAUUACUGGGCGUAAAGCGCACGUAGGCGGACUCUUAAGUCGGUGGUGAAAUCCUGGAGCUCAACUCCAGAACUGCCUUCGAUACUGGGAGUCUUGAGUUCGGGAGAGGUGAGUGGAACUGCGAGUGUAGAGGUGAAAUCCGUAGAUAUUCGCAAGAACACCAGUGGCGAAGGCGGCUCACUGGCCCGAUACUGACGCUGAGGUGCGAAAGCGUGGGGAGCAAACA